Molecule: long non-coding RNA, 996 nt
Filed under: Dasypus novemcinctus (nine-banded armadillo)
Lineage: Eukaryota; Metazoa; Chordata; Mammalia; Cingulata; Dasypodidae
Description: lncRNA (ENSDNOG00000052008.1)
Source: RNAcentral
UACCAUGCUGUUUUGGCUACUGUAGCUUUGUAGUAAGUUGAAUUUUUUGUUUUAUUUUGUUUUGUUUUGUUUUUUUGCAGGCCAAAUACCUAGUUUAUUUCAGCAUCAGCAAUAUCUUAGCCAUGAAAAAAUAAACUCUACCGUGGAUGAUGGAAGUCUCUACAGCGAGGCUAAGGGCUCACCACCGGGCAGCGGGCACUGCGGGGGCGGGCCGCGCUCUCCAGGCAAUACGUUAUGAAGCAGUGGGGCUGGGGUGGCACCGGGCCUCACCUCUGGGUGGGCAUCAGGCCGCCGGUGGCCUGGCCCUGCUCCAGCCUCUGUGCAUCUUGAUGAGCAGGUUCACCCCGUACAUAGUGGAUAGUUUUGAGAACAGUUACAUUUACAUGUGCUGGACUAUAGAGAGCCACAUCUGGACCUAAAUUAGAAGAAUUUGAAUAGCUCACAACCGAAGGAAAGCUCGCCCACACGCUGCAGCAAGCAUGACAUGACCUGACCCACUUCCGUUUGGGAGAAGGGAGGGAAUGCCUUAGUCUGAGGGUCUCCAGAAGCAUACCCCGUGUAGCAGUUUAACAUUAUUGAUGAACUCCAAAAAGAAAUACUGGAUUAUGCUUGUAAUCUGAUCUGUACCUGAGCAUGAUUGAGUUAUGAUUAGGGUAUUGAGUCCCCACCUCUUUGUGGGUGGGGACUCCCAGAUAAAAGGCAUGGCGAAGGACAGAGCUGAGGGUUUUCUGAUGUUGGAGUUUUGAUGUUGGAGUGCGAUGCAGAAGACUUAAGCUGGAGCCCUGGGAAGUCUGCAUGCAGAGGAAAGAGAAGCCAGCCCCAGGAAGGAAGGAACCUUGAACCCAGAGAAAAGCAAACCCCAGGAACAUAGGAGCCCAGGAAGCUGAGCCCUCAUAGACGUCAGCAGCCAUCUUGCUCCAAAUAGACUUUGGUGAGGGAAGGAACUUAUGCUUUAUGGCCUCGUAUCUGUAAGCCCCUACCCCAAAUAAAUACCCU